Molecule: unclassified non-coding RNA, 241 nt
Filed under: Hevea brasiliensis (rubber tree)
Lineage: Eukaryota; Viridiplantae; Streptophyta; Magnoliopsida; Malpighiales; Euphorbiaceae
Source: RNAcentral
AUUCUUAAUAAAUAAAUUUAAUGGCCAAGACAAAUAGACUUAUUCAGAAAAGAGUUUUUGAUGGAAAAGUCUUAUUAAUCAAGAAUUUGAAUUAAGAUGAGCACAUAUGAUUCCAAGCAAUUAGGGUUUAACAUAAACCAUGACCUUUGCUAGAAUUGGGAUUAUGUAACAGAAAGAUUUUAGUGCAUGAUAUGUAUCAUCAAAGUUCAUGAGUUACGUAUAAAUUAAUUCAUCACUAGUU